Molecule: long non-coding RNA, 333 nt
Organism: Mytilus trossulus (common blue mussel)
Lineage: Eukaryota; Metazoa; Mollusca; Bivalvia; Mytilida; Mytilidae
Exons: 3
Source: RefSeq, a predicted model, not a curated record
CACGUAUGUAUGAUUAUCCGAAUCCUUCAUGGAACCAACCAGACCAGACAAUUGACAAAUGUAUGCAGUUCUGUAAAAAGCGGAGUUAUAUUUACAGCGGAUUAGAGUUUAAGACGCAUUGCUUCUGUGGCAGUGAUGACCCAAGAAAGAUUUCAGGUUAUUUCAAGCGAAGUGAAUAUGAUUGUACUCUGCCUUGUGGUGGACAAAGUCGAGAAUCAUGCGGGGGACCAUGGCGGUUAUCAAUUUAUAAAGAUUGCAGCGUUUUACAACCUUAUCUACCACAUUGUGCUGACAUCGACUGUACUACAAGCAUUAACAAAUGGUGUGUCAGAU